CAGUCGCCGCGGGAAUACGAAGGUCCCGAGCGUUGUUCGGAAUCACUGGGCGUAAAGGGAGCGUAGGCGGCGUGGUAAGUCAGAUGUGAAAUCCCGGGGCUCAUCCCCGGAACUGCAUCCGAUACUGCCAUGCCAGAGGAUUGGAGAGGUAGCUGGAAUUCUUGGUGUAGCAGUGAAAUGCGUGGAGAUCAAGAGGAACACUCGUGGCGAAAGCGAGCUACUGGACAAUAACUGACGCUGAGGCUCGAAGGCCAGGGUAGCGAAAGGGAUUAGAUACCCGCGUAGUCCCUGUCUCUUAUAC
This 301-nucleotide ribosomal RNA is filed under the name uncultured bacterium. Its description in RNAcentral is "partial 16S ribosomal RNA". It matches the Rfam family "Bacterial small subunit ribosomal RNA", at positions 509 to 807 of the family's 1533-position model. The record is from RNAcentral.